RNAcentral lists this ribosomal RNA (434 nucleotides) under uncultured bacterium. RNAcentral describes it as "bacterial SSU rRNA". It matches the Rfam family "Bacterial small subunit ribosomal RNA", at positions 957 to 1392 of the family's 1533-position model. The record is from RNAcentral.
UAACGCGAAGAACCUUACCAGGUCUUGACAUCCUUUGACCACUCUAGAGAUAGAGCUUUCCCUUCGGGGACAAAGUGACAGGUGGUGCAUGGUUGUCGUCAGCUCGUGUCGUGAGAUGUUGGGUUAAGUCCCGCAACGAGCGCAACCCUUAUUACUAGUUGCCAGCAUUUAGUUGGGCACUCUAGUGAGACUGCCGGUGACAAACCGGAGGAAGGUGGGGACGACGUCAAAUCAUCAUGCCCCUUAUGACCUGGGCUACACACGUGCUACAAUGGAUGGUACAACGAGUUGCGAGACCGCGAGGUUUAGCUAAUCUCUUAAAACCAUUCUCAGUUCGGAUUGUAGGCUGCAACUCGCCUACAUGAAGCCGGAAUCGCUAGUAAUCGCGGAUCAGCAUGCCGCGGUGAAUACGUUCCCGGGCCUUGUACACACCG